UCUGAUUUAACAUAUAUUUAAUGUGUUGGAUUGUAAAUCCAUAGAAAGCAGUUGCUAAUCAGGA
Molecule: transfer RNA, 64 nt
Filed under: Senga ophiocephalina
Lineage: Eukaryota; Metazoa; Platyhelminthes; Cestoda; Bothriocephalidea; Bothriocephalidae
Description: tRNA-Tyr
Source: RNAcentral